RNAcentral lists this ribosomal RNA (253 nucleotides) under uncultured bacterium. RNAcentral describes it as "partial 16S ribosomal RNA". It matches the Rfam family "Bacterial small subunit ribosomal RNA", at positions 524 to 776 of the family's 1533-position model. The record is from RNAcentral.
UACGAAGGGGGCUAGCGUUACUCGGAUUGACUGGGCGUAAAGGGCGCGUAGGCGGCUUGUACAGUCAGACGUGAAAUUCCUGGGCUCAACCUGGGGGCUGCGUUUGAUACGUGCGGGCUUGAGUUCGGAAGAGGGUCGUGGAAUUCCCAGUGUAGAGGUGAAAUUCGUAGAUAUUCGGAAGAACACCAGUGGCGAAGGCGACUUACUGGACACAUAUUGACGCUGAGGUGCGAAAGCGUGGGGAGCAAACAGG